Hemicordylus capensis (graceful crag lizard) is the source of this 334-nucleotide long non-coding RNA. RefSeq lists it as uncharacterized. The record is from RefSeq and is a predicted model, not a curated record. NCBI's taxonomy places the organism in Eukaryota, Metazoa, Chordata, Lepidosauria, Squamata, Cordylidae. The transcript is spliced from 2 exons.
UCCAUUUUGUGCUUGAAACAGGCCCCCUUUGUAAGGGGUGUUCUGUUUUGAGCUUGGAACACUUGAAAUGUCCCAUUUCAAGGCAGAAAUUCCCAACCAUGGAAUGUUCUGCACAUCUCUAGUUGCUGGACAAGUGACACACUCAGCAGGAAAGGGAGGGGGAUUGCAGGUAGAGGCAAUGGAACCAUAACUUCUGGAUUGUCUGUGGUAUGAUUCUUGACUUCCAAGGUUAACCUCAGAAUGACAGCUGGAAUACCUGAAAUGUAGCAGAUGUAUAAAUGGUUUCCCCACCAGAAUUGAACAUUGUUAAAAAUUAAACUUUUUUGUUGUGGCA